GGAAGUAAAAGUCUAACAAGGUUUCCGUAGGUGAACCUGCGGAAGGAUCAUUAAAGAAUCGCCCCGUUUUUUAUAAAUGGGUUCUAUUCCCAAACCGUGUAUACAUACCUUUGUUGCUUUGGCAGGCCGCCUCCGGGCGUCGGCUCCGGCUGAUAGUGCCUGCCAGAGGACCCAAACUCUGUGUUUAGAGAUGUCUGAGUACUAUAUAAUAGUUAAAACUUUCAACAACGGAUCUCUUGGUUCUG
RNAcentral lists this unclassified non-coding RNA (245 nucleotides) under plant metagenome. Its description in RNAcentral is "partial contains small subunit ribosomal RNA, internal transcribed spacer 1, and 5.8S ribosomal RNA". The stretch from base 1 to 53 matches the Rfam family "Eukaryotic small subunit ribosomal RNA", at positions 1778 to 1831 of the family's 1831-position model. The record is from RNAcentral.